Long non-coding RNA from Schistocerca gregaria, 715 nucleotides. RefSeq lists it as uncharacterized. Lineage: Eukaryota; Metazoa; Arthropoda; Insecta; Orthoptera; Acrididae. The transcript is spliced from 3 exons. The record is from RefSeq and is a predicted model, not a curated record.
CUUUGACGCAAUUGGUAGUGAAUUAUUACGUAUUACGUAAAGUAGCACGUGCAGAGAAAAUCCUUCAACAUUCUAGUCAGCAAGUAGACUACAGCAACAUGUCAUAGCUCCUCUCUCUCUUUGAUAUGGACCAGAUCAAGCAUUCAUUCUAUCAUUUUAAAUCCACCUUAUGAAUUAACUGGCUGAUCACACACCAAUCUCUGUUUAUAAGUCUCAGUGUUUGCAGGGUACAUAGUGUUUUGGCGUAAAGUCAAGUGUCGACAUGCCAGUGAGGAAUGAUAGAGAAGAGAUGGCUAUGAGAAGACAUCAGCCAAUUGCACACUGACUGACCCCUCUCCAGGACAACAACGCAACAGGAGCGGCCUCUACGUGAAGAGGAUGUAAGCGCUGCGACCGACUGGUGACAGCCUGGUUGAAUAGCAGCCUCAAGACUGGCGGUUUCAGUAGCAGCAUCAACUCUAUUUACUUCGCUUGUGUAUCACACACUUGGAAUUGUUUAUAUUGAAGAAGCUUGAUUAUUUCAUAUGUUGUUCUUUUCUUGUGACACAUCUGUGUAGUUGCAAAGUUAAGUAUUUUGUAUCUUUUCAUUCUGUAAUAUAACUCAUUCAUAUAACUCAUUUGAGUGUUUGUCUAGUGAACUGAGCAUGCAGGUGACACAUCUGUGUAGUUGCAAAGUUAAGUAUUUUGUAUCUUUUCAUUUUGUAAUAUAACUCAU